GGAGAACUCAGGGCGGAUGUCUGCCGGGUUUAGAAUAGUUCACCAGUGAAGUCAUCUCAACCAGCACAGGGCCUUGACUCCUAACAACAAUCACACGAACUUGGAAGAGGAGCCUUCCCCAACUGAACCUUCGCUUGAGACCUCGUCCUUGGCCAUCCUCUACAUCUGGAUUCAUGAUACAGAGAAACUUGAGUAAUGAUGACACUAGCAGUCCAGCCUGCAUGGAUGCUGACAUGGAUGCUGUCUCCCAUUCUUACCACUGGAUGGGAAGAAAUGCUAGAUGCAAU
Molecule: long non-coding RNA, 287 nt
Filed under: Homo sapiens (human)
Lineage: Eukaryota; Metazoa; Chordata; Mammalia; Primates; Hominidae
Description: HSALNT0379864
Source: RNAcentral